Molecule: non-coding RNA, 187 nt
Filed under: Polaribacter atrinae
Lineage: Bacteria; Pseudomonadati; Bacteroidota; Flavobacteriia; Flavobacteriales; Flavobacteriaceae
Source: RNAcentral
UAUUUUUUAACUAAGAAUGGUUAUCAAGUUUAAAAACUUGAUAUUAAAAUGGGAAUCUAGUGUAAACCUAGAACUGUCCCGCAGCUGUAAGCUCUAAAAUUGAAAUCCGAAUAGUCACUUUUCGAAAGAAUGGGAAGACCGGGUGGAUGGAGUAAGUCAGAAGACCUGCCAUUUUUAAAUAAUUCAU